RNAcentral lists this ribosomal RNA (253 nucleotides) under uncultured bacterium. Its description in RNAcentral is "partial 16S ribosomal RNA". It matches the Rfam family "Bacterial small subunit ribosomal RNA", at positions 524 to 776 of the family's 1533-position model. The record is from RNAcentral.
UACGUAGGGACCAAGCGUUGUUCGGAUUUACUGGGCGUAAAGGGCGCGUAGGCGGCAAUUCAAGUCAGCUGUGAAAUCUCCGGGCUUAACUCGGAACGGUCAGCUGAUACUGCUUUGCUAGAGUGCAGAAGGGGCAAUCGGAAUUCUUGGUGUAGCGGUGAAAUGCGUAGAUAUCAGGAGGAACACCUGUGGUGUAGACAGCUUACUGGACCACUUCUGACGCUGAGACACGAAAGCGUGGGUAGCAAACGGG